GUUUCCGUAGUGUAGUGGUUAUCACAUCCGCCUAACACGCAGAAGGUCAUGGGUUCGAGACCCAGCGGAAAUU
This 73-nucleotide transfer RNA is filed under the name Pomacea canaliculata. Its description in RNAcentral is "tRNA-Val". It matches the Rfam family "tRNA". Rfam says of the family: Transfer RNA (tRNA) molecules are approximately 80 nucleotides in length. Their secondary structure includes four short double-helical elements and three loops (D, anti-codon, and T loops). Lineage: Eukaryota; Metazoa; Mollusca; Gastropoda; Architaenioglossa; Ampullariidae. The record is from Rfam by way of RNAcentral.